Molecule: small nuclear RNA, 97 nt
Organism: Otolemur garnettii (small-eared galago)
Lineage: Eukaryota; Metazoa; Chordata; Mammalia; Primates; Galagidae
Source: Ensembl
AUGCUUUCUUGGAUAACACAUAUCCUAAAAUUGGAGAAGAUUAACAUGGCCCCGGCAUAAGGAUGACACACAAAUUUGUGAAGCAUUUCAUAUUUUU